Rattus rattus (black rat) is the source of this 804-nucleotide long non-coding RNA. RefSeq lists it as uncharacterized. Lineage: Eukaryota; Metazoa; Chordata; Mammalia; Rodentia; Muridae. The transcript is spliced from 3 exons. The record is from RefSeq and is a predicted model, not a curated record.
AGGCUUGUACUCCUGGAUCGUCUGGUGACUUCAACUGUCUGGUCUCAGGGUGGAGAACUUUCUUUGAACGCCUAACCUGUGAGUCGAUGAUGAUGGUGCCUAUCCUUUAACUGAACAACUGUGGUGAGUUCCUCUUUUGACUUCUCCUUCUCCCUUUCUCUGUUGCCUACUUCUCUUUCUUCUUAUCCUCUGACAUGUGUGAAAUGUUUAUCCCUCUAAAAUUAAAGGAGAUUUAUUCAUUUAUAUUAAUUGGGGCUAUGACUUUAAAAUUAGUUUUCCUGAAAGAAACCCCUUAAAGCACUUUACUGUUUUGUCUUUUAUUUUCUUCCAAUUAAAACAAAUACUUAGAAAAGUUAGAUAAACAAAUUCUCAACAUUUCCAGAGAAAUGUUCACUUACUCAACAUAUAUCAAAUCCCAUAAUCAAUUAAAGAACACUAACAUGUCUUAUGAGAAAAUAUCAUAAUAUUUGAUAGUGCAUGUAUAAGUAAAACACUCAACACUUAUGAAUACGUACAUUUUUUUCUCUACUAAUCUGUAGGGCAGAAAGCAAAAUACUGAUAUACCUUAAUGUAUUUAGUUGCUUCCCUAUUUUAGAUAAUUGGUUACCAAACAUUAAAUUUAGAGUCAUAAUUCUUACCAACUUAAUUCUUCCAAGCAGUUGCUCUUCUUUUCAGUGACCUUGUGUAAACAUGGUAUCACUGUGCAUUUUAUUCCAUUGAACUGGCAUUGAAAAUUCUCUUUAUACUGAUCGACUUAAAAGAAGAUUUUACAUUUGAGAAAUACCAUGGAUUUAUUAAUUCAGA